UUUUAUCUCUGUAAUGUCAGCAAUUUAAUCAUGGUUGGUUGCACUUUUUGUGUACAUUAGUAAAAAAUAUAUGGCUUGUCACAUUUGUCUCCAAUAUUCCUUUAACUACACUUUAUCUGCUCUUGUUAGUACAUAUGACUUGCUGAAUCUUACCAGAAAGCUACAAAAUUCUGUCAGCUUUUACCAUUAAUCCCUAAGUAAUUCAUUUGGAUUUUUUUAAAAGAAAUUCUUUUACUUUUUUUCACUUAAUAUAGAUUUUUUUCAUAGAAUAUAUUCUGACUACUAAGUGCCUUCCCUUAACCCAUUGCAAAAUUCACCCAUGUUCCAUUCCAUUUGAAUCCACACCUUUUCUGUCUUACCAUAGAAACAAACAGGUAUGUAAGGAGUAAUAUUAAAAUAUAAAAAGAAAUAAAAUAAAUUGAAAUAGGAAAAAAAUCAACCAAAUGAAUUAAAUUAGCCAAAGAGAUGAAAAAGCCUAGGAAAAUUAUAUUGACACAGAGAUAAAAUGUUCUUACCCAUAUGAAUCUCAUAAAAACAGAAAACUGGAAGCUUUAAUGUACACAAAGAACCUGAAAGGUUAAAAACAAAUUCCCUAUCUUAACACUAUGAGGCAAAGAAGGUCCAAGAUGUUGAGUUUGUUUUGUGUUGGUCAUCUAUUAUUAGGCAUGAGGCCCAACCUUAAGUGUGGUUUGUUUCCCCAGUAAGACUCCUUUGGAGAAACCUAAUUAUUCAUUUGAAACUGUCUGCCAAUUGGAAAUAGAUUCUGCAUUGUGGAUGGAUGUGUAUUCUACCUUUCCUUCAAGCUCUAGGACUUUGUGUGGUCCAGAACCAUGCUUGUCCUAUGCAUACUGCCACAGUUUCUGUGAAGACAUAAUUUGCCAUGACUUCUAAUCCUUAAUUUAAUUAUAAAAAAGGUAAAGAAAUAGAAAUCCAGAAGAAAUGGAUUAUACUGUUACAGUUUCAUGGGUAGAAAUCCCUGUCACAUCUACUAGACAUAACCUCUAUAACCUCAAGUAGAUGUCUUUGUCUUAGGGCUCUUACAAGCUUUUUACUCCCUGCUUUCUCAACAUUCCUUAAGUUUAAGUGUAGAUAUCGUUUGAAAUUUAUCAGUUAGGAUUGAACACCCUGUGUCCAAUGCAGCUUGUCCUUUGUCUUUUGAUCAGGUGUAGAUUUCUUGAUAGUCUCCAUGUACUGAAAAACAACAUGAGCUUUGAUGAGGAGAGAAGCUACAUCAACAUAGCUCAAAACUAGAAACAACAGAGAUGCUGAUGGAGCUUUCAAUAAGAAUGGUGUCUCCUUCUGGUCUGAGUCUGUGCCCUAAGCAGACAUUGGGCACUAGCUCCACCCCCAAUCAUUCAAAUCCCAGGUGUUGUAAUAUGCCCAGUAUCAUAGGUGAGGAGGCCAUAACAUCUGCCCCAACAAACCAAUACUGGGUGUUACUGGGACCAGUGGGAUCCAGGGACACAAGAACCUCCUCCCAGAGAGUGGCACGGGUUCCUUCUGUUCUGAGCCAGUGCCCUGGGCAGAUCUUGGACGCUAGCUCCACACCCUGUCCCACAAUACCCAGAAGAAUCUCUACUCCUAGGUACAUAACACGCCCAGGGUCAUAGUUGGUCUAACACACUCAGGAUUCCAGAACUCAAAAGCUUGGUCACACCAGGAUUUUGGGACCCAAGAGGCAAAUUGACUCCCAGGAGCUCUGACACACCGAGAAUCUCAGGAUCCCAGGGUCCCAGAGACAGAUAGAUUCUGAGGAAUUCUGACACAACUAAAAUAUCAGGAGGUACAGGCUACAGUUAGAUACAGUGAGGGUAGAUAGCAAUAGAUAUAACCAGAUGGUGAGAGGCAAGCAUAAGAAUAUUAGCAACAGAAACCAAGGUUACUUGACAUCAUCAGAACCCAGAUCUUCUACCAUAGCAAGUCCUAGAUACCCCAUCACACCAGAAAUGCAAGAAUCAGAUAUAAAAUCACUUCUUAUGUUGAUGAUAGAGGACAUUAAGAAGGACAUAAAUAACUCCCCUUUAAAAAAAUACAGGAGAACAGAGAUAAACUGGUAGAAGCUAUUAAAGAAUUACAGGAAAACACAACCAAACAGGAGAAAGAAUUGAACAAGACUAUCCAGGAUAAAAAAAUGGAAAUAGAAACAAUUAAGAAAUCAAAAGAAGGAGACAACCAGGAUAUAGAAAACCUAGGAAAGCUCCUAACACAAAACGUCCAGGAAAUCGAGGACAAAAUGAGAAGAUGAAACCAAAGGAUAAUAGGUAUAGAACAGAGGGAAGAUACCUAACUUAGAUGGCCAGUAAAUAUCUUGAACAAAAUUAUAGAAGAAAACUUCCCUAACCUAAAGAAAGAGAUGCCCAUGAACAUACAAGAAGCCCUCAGAACUCCAAAUAGACUAGACUAGGAAAGAAAUUCCUCCCAGCAAUAAAAUCAAAAUACCAAAUGCACACAAAAAAAGAAAGGAUAUUAAAAGGUUAUAGGAAAAAGGUAAAGUAAAAUACAAAGGCAGACCUAUCAGAUUACACCAGACUUCUCACCAGAAACUAUAAAAGCCAGAAUAUCCUGGGCAAAUGUUAUACUGUGAGGAGGCGCCCUUGCAAUCGCCAUUACAAGAUGGCGCUGAUAUCCGGUGUUCUAACUAGUAAACAGGUAGUCUGCGCAUGUGCUGGGGUAUUUUUCCAUUCCUUGUACCAUGCCUGUCCCGUGGCGUCAUCUGGGCUGAUAGUGAGCAGCCAGUCAGGGUGAAAUAUGUCCCCAAACGCUCUUGUGAGCUAUUUAAGGACCGAGUUUCCUGUGUCCUGGGCCUCCUCCCCAGAAGCUGAUGACCUUUCUCUCAAGAUGCAUUAAAGCUAUGCUGCAGAAGAACCCGUGUGUGUCCUUGCUGGCGAGACUCCCUUAUCACACAGACACAUCUGGUGCCGAGAACCCGGGAACGCCACAACAUCGCUGGCAUUGAGAAGUUCCCCUGGAAACGGGGCAGGUCCAGAACUGCAGUGGAAGGUAAGUCCGGAGAGACAUGUCUGGCCUUGAGAAAGCAUGCCAGAAACUGAACGGAGCAAGAUAAUAGGAGCUCAUGAAAAAAAAAAAAAGACAUGUCUAAGGAAAAAGAAGGAAAAAGGACCUACCUGGACAUUAGAAAAAAAAGGGGGAGUGAAAAAGGAG
RNAcentral lists this long non-coding RNA (3162 nucleotides) under Mus musculus (house mouse). RNAcentral's name for it is "long non-coding RNA chr13:12823216-12826378". The record is from RNAcentral. Lineage: Eukaryota; Metazoa; Chordata; Mammalia; Rodentia; Muridae.